CCGGCGACCGGCGCACGGGUGAGUAACACGUAUGGAACCUGCCCGCAGCAGGGGGAUAAGCGGAAGAAAUUCCGUCUAAUACCGCGUAACACCGCAGAGGGGCAUCCCUCGGCGGUUAAAGAUUCAUCGGCUGCGGAUGGCCAUGCGGCGCAUUAGCUAGUCGGCGGGGUAACGGCCCACCGAGGCGACGAUGCGUAGGGGUUCUGAGAGGAAGGUCCCCCACACUGGUACUGAGACACGGACCAGACUCCUACGGAAGGCAGCAG
RNAcentral lists this ribosomal RNA (266 nucleotides) under uncultured bacterium. Its description in RNAcentral is "partial 16S ribosomal RNA". It matches the Rfam family "Bacterial small subunit ribosomal RNA", at positions 88 to 354 of the family's 1533-position model. The record is from RNAcentral.